Molecule: ribosomal RNA, 882 nt
Filed under: Triticum aestivum (bread wheat)
Lineage: Eukaryota; Viridiplantae; Streptophyta; Magnoliopsida; Poales; Poaceae
Description: partial small subunit ribosomal RNA
Source: RNAcentral
AUGCAUCGCCAGGUUUACACCAGGACAAUGUUUGAGAAAUUUGGUGAAGCAUUGUACGAGUGUGGGUCAUAUGAUCUAAUAGAAGUCGAACCCCGAUUGGAGUACAUUGCUAGGCACAUAAAAUUCCAGUCAGGGGAAAAGUGGUGCAAGAAUGAGUUUGUCAUCUCAGUGAGUGAGCCAGCCGAUGAGUUCAUUAGCGAGUGUGGAACGUUUGAGCACUAUGGGAUGGUUUGCAGCCAUGUGCUUAAGGUCAUGAUACACCUAAAACUGUAUGAGCUCCCGCCAAAACAUGUGCUCAAGCGGUGGACUAGAGAUGCAAGAGAUAUACUGCCACCGGAGUAUUUGCGCUACCAGAAGGACCAUGGGCCCCUGAAGUAUUCUUCUCGUCGGCACAACACCUUAUACUUGUUGGCACUGGAUGUGGUUAAAUUAGGUAACAACAAUGUGGAAGCACAUGCACUUGCAAUGGAGAAAAUGCGAGAUGUCAAAGUGCUGCUCGAGCCAGUUGCCGCCGUGCGGGAUAGGCUUGGUUUGUCUGAUAGAGAGUUGGCUGCAGAUUCAGGCGGCUCUGGUGUUGGGAACAAGCAGCAUUUUGGGAGAGCUGAGUCUGAGCACACCAUCUCACAAGGAUUGGAUUUGUUUCCAGCAUCGUGCAAGAAACGACCCGCUGGGCGUCCAACAACGAGCCGCGACAAGGCUCCAUAUGAACAACCAUCAAAGAGGAGCAGAUUAUGUUCUAUAUGCAGAAUUCAGGGGCACAAGAGCACAACAUGCCCUGCCAGAGGGGAUGUGCCAAAGGCACCUAGGAAAUCGCCUCGCUGCUCAAAAUGUCGGUUGACAUGUCACAGGAAGAACAGAUGCAGCAACCCGCCUAAGGUCUGA